Molecule: long non-coding RNA, 368 nt
Organism: Nasonia vitripennis (jewel wasp)
Lineage: Eukaryota; Metazoa; Arthropoda; Insecta; Hymenoptera; Pteromalidae
Exons: 2
Source: RefSeq, a predicted model, not a curated record
CAAAGUGGCCAAGAGAAAAAAAAGAGCGCAUCGCGCGAAUACCUUCGAUCGCAGGUUUUAGCAUAUGUUACACGGGUACGGACGCGCGUAAACGUUAUUCGAUUGUCGUCCGUAAAUUUGUUUUUGUUCAUCUCUAUAUAGUACCUCGUACUCGUGCGAAACAAAAACUGCCGAUGACCAAGUGACACCAAUACUAAUUAUCCAUCACGACGUUUAAUUGCAGAUCCACAAGAUUUGGAACCUGAUAAUUUGAUUGAUUUGGUAUUCGGAGUUCUGAUAUACGACACUGUGUAUGAAUAAUGCAAAUGGUGAAUCAACGUUCUAAAAGAAGUGGUGUAGAGUAAAAAAAUAAAGUCUCAAGACAUUCA